This 253-nucleotide ribosomal RNA is filed under the name uncultured bacterium. Its description in RNAcentral is "partial 16S ribosomal RNA". It matches the Rfam family "Bacterial small subunit ribosomal RNA", at positions 524 to 776 of the family's 1533-position model. The record is from RNAcentral.
UACAGAGGUCUCAAGCGUUGUUCGGAUUCACUGGGCGUAAAGGGUGCGCAGGUGGCAUGGUAAGUUUGAUGUGAAAGCUCAGGGCUUAACCCUGAAAUGGCAUUGAAUACUACUGUGCUGGAGGUUUGGAGGGGGGACUGGAGUUCUUGGUGUAGCAGUGAAAUGCGUAGAUAUCAAGAGGAACACCAGUGGCGAAGGCGAGUCCCUGGACAACACCUGACACUGAGGCACGAAAGCUAGGGGAGCAAACAGG